Molecule: ribosomal RNA, 465 nt
Filed under: Vreelandella stevensii
Lineage: Bacteria; Pseudomonadati; Pseudomonadota; Gammaproteobacteria; Oceanospirillales; Halomonadaceae
Description: partial 16S ribosomal RNA
Rfam family: Bacterial small subunit ribosomal RNA
Source: RNAcentral
CCUACGGGUGGCAGCAGUGGGGAAUAUUGGACAAUGGGGGGAACCCUGAUCCAGCCAUGCCGCGUGUGUGAAGAAGGCCCUCGGGUUGUAAAGCACUUUCAGUGAGGAAGAACGCCUGGUGGUUAAUACCCAUCAGGAAAGACAUCACUCACAGAAGAAGCACCGGCUAACUCCGUGCCAGCAGCCGCGGUAAUACGGAGGGUGCGAGCGUUAAUCGGAAUUACUGGGCGUAAAGCGCGCGUAGGUGGCUGGAUAAGCCGGUUGUGAAAGCCCCGGGCUCAACCUGGGAACGGCAUCCGGAACUGUCAGGCUAGAGUGCAGGAGAGGAAGGUAGAAUUCCCGGUGUAGCGGUGAAAUGCGUAGAGAUCGGGAGGAAUACCAGUGGCGAAGGCGGCCUUCUGGACUGACACUGACACUGAGGUGCGAAAGCGUGGGUAGCAAACAGGAUUAGAUACCCGUGUAGUC